This 481-nucleotide ribosomal RNA is filed under the name uncultured bacterium. RNAcentral describes it as "partial 16S ribosomal RNA". It matches the Rfam family "Bacterial small subunit ribosomal RNA", at positions 28 to 507 of the family's 1533-position model. The record is from RNAcentral.
GAUGAACGCUGGCGGCGUGCUUAACACAUGCAAGUCGAACGAAGCAUUUGCGACAGAUUUUUUCGGAAUGAAGUUGCUUAUGACUGAGUGGCGGACGGGUGAGUAACGCGUGGGUAACCUGCCUUGUACUGGGGGAUAGCAGCUGGAAACGGCUGGUAAUACCGCAUAAGCGCACAAUGUUGCAUGACAUGGUGUGAAAAACUCCGGUGGUAUAAGAUGGACCCGCGUCUGAUUAGCUAGUUGGUGAGAUAACAGCCCACCAAGGCGACGAUCAGUAGCCGACCUGAGAGGGUGACCGGCCACAUUGGGACUGAGACACGGCCCAGACUCCUACGGGAGGCAGCAGUGGGGAAUAUUGCACAAUGGAGGAAACUCUGAUGCAGCGACGCCGCGUGAGUGAAGAAGUAAUUCGUGAUGUAAAGCUCUAUCAGCAGGGAAGAUAGUGACGGUACCUGACGAAGAAGCGCCGGCUAAAUACGUG